This 449-nucleotide ribosomal RNA is filed under the name uncultured organism. RNAcentral describes it as "partial 16S ribosomal RNA". It matches the Rfam family "Bacterial small subunit ribosomal RNA", at positions 335 to 801 of the family's 1533-position model. The record is from RNAcentral.
ACUCCUGCGGGAGGCAGCAGUGGGGAAUAUUGGACAAUGGGCGCAAGCCUGAUCCAGCCAUGCCGCGUGAGUGAUGAAGGCCCUAGGGUUGUAAAGCUCUUUCACCGGUGAAGAUAAUGACGGUAACCGGAGAAGAAGCCCCGGCUAACUUCGUGCCAGCAGCCGCGGUAAUACGAAGGGGGCUAGCGUUGUUCGGAUUUACUGGGCGUAAAGCGCACGUAGGCGGACUAUUAAGUCAGGGGUGAAAUCCCGGGGCUCAACCCCGGAACUGCCUUGAUACUGGUAGUCUUGAGUUCGAGAGAGGUGAGUGGAAUUCCGAGUGUAGAGGUGAAAUUCGUAGAUAUUCGGAGGAACACCAGUGGCGAAGGCGGCUCACUGGCUCGAUACUGACGCUGAGGUGCGAAAGCGUGGGGAGCAAACAGGAUUAGAAACCCUAGUAGUCCCAUGAU